UAUGAAGUAAGCUAAUAAUAAAGCUACUAGGUUCAUACCCUAUUCAUGAAAAAAGAUAUUUCCUUUAUAA
RNAcentral lists this transfer RNA (70 nucleotides) under Hypoaspis linteyini. RNAcentral describes it as "tRNA-Met". The record is from RNAcentral. Lineage: Eukaryota; Metazoa; Arthropoda; Arachnida; Mesostigmata; Laelapidae.